Molecule: non-coding RNA, 84 nt
Organism: Crucibulum laeve
Lineage: Eukaryota; Fungi; Basidiomycota; Agaricomycetes; Agaricales; Nidulariaceae
Source: the annotation of a GenBank genome assembly
ACACCGAUGGUGAAGUGGUUAUCAUGCUUGCCUUCCAAGAAUUUGUAUAAGCAAGCGGCAGGGGUUCGAUUCCCCUUCGGUGUA